UACGGGGGGGGCAAGCGUUGUUCGGAAUUACUGGGCGUAAAGGGCUCGUAGGCGGCCAACUAAGUCAGACGUGAAAUCCCUCGGCUUAACCGGGGAACUGCGUCUGAUACUGGAUGGCUUGAGUUUGGGAGAGGGAUGCGGAAUUCCAGGUGUAGCGGUGAAAUGCGUAGAUAUCUGGAGGAACACCGGUGGCGAAGGCGGCAUCCUGGACCAACACUGACGCUGAGUGAGCGAAAGCAUGGGGAGCGAACAGG
Molecule: ribosomal RNA, 254 nt
Filed under: uncultured bacterium
Lineage: Bacteria
Description: partial 16S ribosomal RNA
Rfam family: Bacterial small subunit ribosomal RNA
Source: RNAcentral